UACGUAGGGUGCGAGCGUUAAUCGGAAUUACUGGGCGUAAAGCGUGCGCAGGCGGUUCGCUGUGUCCUGUGUGAAAGCCCCGGGCUCAACCUGGGAAUGGCCGUUGAAACUGGCGAACUGGAGUGUGGCAGAGGGGGGUGGAAUUCCGCGUGUAGCAGUGAAAUGCGUAGAGAUGCGGAGGAACACCGAUGGCGAAGGCAGCCCCCUGGGCUAACACUGACGCUCAGGCACGAAAGCGUGGGGAGCAAACAGG
Molecule: ribosomal RNA, 253 nt
Filed under: uncultured bacterium
Lineage: Bacteria
Description: partial 16S ribosomal RNA
Rfam family: Bacterial small subunit ribosomal RNA
Source: RNAcentral